This 217-nucleotide small nucleolar RNA is filed under the name Brassica napus (rape). RNAcentral describes it as "snoRNA Plant_U3". It matches the Rfam family "Plant small nucleolar RNA U3". Rfam says of the family: Small nucleolar RNAs (snoRNAs) are involved in the processing and modification of rRNA in the nucleolus. The record is from Rfam by way of RNAcentral. Lineage: Eukaryota; Viridiplantae; Streptophyta; Magnoliopsida; Brassicales; Brassicaceae.
ACGACCUUACUUGAACAGGAUCUGUUCUAUAGGCUCGUACUUCUGUAUCCUUGAUUUCUAAGGAGACAGGCCCCAAACCCUGGUUGAUGAAACAUGUCCGUGCGAUCUGAGUGUGAUUAACGGUGAAGGUUGUCUUCUGACUGUCCGAGCUGUAGAGGAUCGCUAUCUGGUCUGGUCUUGACCUAGCCAGAGUGGUCGCACGGUUGUCUGACAGGUU